Long non-coding RNA from Dreissena polymorpha, 315 nucleotides. RefSeq lists it as uncharacterized. The record is from RefSeq and is a predicted model, not a curated record. The transcript has 3 exons. Lineage: Eukaryota; Metazoa; Mollusca; Bivalvia; Myida; Dreissenidae.
GGCUGGAAAAGUUGCUUGCACACUGCUGUUGAUUUUGACACUGAUAAAUUACACAUAUGCAGCGGCGGCAGCUUUAGGAGCCAGUUGUUUAGCUGAUGUCGAUUGUACCGGUACAAAAAAUGCUGGAAAAUGUUCAACAACAUGCGGAUGCAAUGACGGAUUCUCAACCAACACCGCGAAUAAUGCAUGUAUAGCCAAUGGUGCUCUUACAGGCACAUGUGCAACUAAUGCUAGCUGUAAUGGAACUACGAAUGGUGACGUCUGUACAACAAACAAGUGCGAAUGUAAACACGGGUAUUCAGCAAACACUGCUGG